RNAcentral lists this ribosomal RNA (399 nucleotides) under uncultured bacterium. RNAcentral's name for it is "bacterial SSU rRNA". It matches the Rfam family "Bacterial small subunit ribosomal RNA", at positions 355 to 771 of the family's 1533-position model. The record is from RNAcentral.
UGGGGAAUAUUGGACAAUGGGCGCAAGCCUGAUCCAGCCAUGCCGCGUGAGUGAUGAAGGCCUUAGGGUUGUAAAGCUCUUUUAUCCGGGACGAUAAUGACGGUACCGGAAGAGUAAGCCCCGGCUAACUUCGUGCCAGCAGCCGCGGUAAUACGAAGGGGGCUAGCGUUGCUCGGAAUCACUGGGCGUAAAGGGCGCGUAGGCGGACAUUUAAGUCAGGGGUGAAAUCCCGGGGCUCAACCUCGGAAUUGCCUUUGAUACUGGGUGUCUCGAGACCGGAAGAGGUAAGUGGAACUGCGAGUGUAGAGGUGAAAUUCGUAGAUAUUCGCAAGAACACCAGUGGCGAAGGCGGCUUACUGGUCCGGUUCUGACGCUGAGGCGCGAAAGCGUGGGGAGCAA